UUGUAAGCAGAGCUGGGACUUGAAAACAGAUCUUCCAUCUCAGUCCAGAGGGGGCAAAAAUAGAGAAACCUUAGCUUGAAAAACUCAGGGGAUUUGGACAGUUGUAAGGGAACUAAAAACAACUGCCUGCCCUUGGAAAUCUGCAUGGCCUCGGAGACUGUGCUAAACACAUUGGGUGUGUUCUUUUAUCCAAUCUUUACUGUAACUAAGCAUUUUAAUCAAUGGCCAAGUCAUCAGUUAGGUUAAAUAACUUGCUCAAAGCCUUGCCCUGAGAACACAGCAGAGUCUAUGGCCAUACCAUUCUGAAUGUGCCCUAUCUCUUCUGAUCUUGUGAAGCUAAGCAGGGUCAGGCCUGGUUAGUACUUGGAUGGGAGACUAUGGCGAGGCUGAGCCAGGAUUUGACCCCAACAGUUGAGCUCUAUCCUCUCUCAAAUGCUGCUUUUGCUGAGUCAGACAAAAGAAUUAUGGCUUUCCUCUUAAGACCUAGUCAUCUUUUGGGAGAUGUCUUUCUCCAGGAAGACCUCCCUAAAUGCUCCAAGCCACAACCAGCACAUCUCCCAGAUACAAAUGUCUAACCUCUAGGAAACUUACUCAGCAGCCCACCUCACCCCACCAGUUUCCCAUGGAUCUGAAGCUCCAUGUCUUCAAGACAGCGGUUCCUGCCUUCGUCAUACUUUUGAGUACCAGUUCCCUCCACCCCACAGUUCCCAAAUUUUAAUUCAGUACCAAAUUCUCAGGAGACACUCAGAGACUUGCAAAGUCAAAGGGGAAGACUGAGAAAGGGAAGCUGUGGGAACCAGAACUCGCCUGUGACUAAUGCUGAUCUUUCACUGAAAUCAACUCUUUAGGAAGCUCUUUGAAAAAAAUCAACUAAUUUUAAGUCAAGUAAUUUUUUUUAACUCUACGAAUUUCCUCAUCUGCCAUGGGAGGUAAUAUAUUCAAAGCACCUAGGCACACAUGGAUAUUGCAUAAAUGGAAGUCAUUAUUAUUAUUAUUCAAGAUCCAUUAAUUUCAUUGGUCAGUUGAAUAAGGAUGUAUUCCCCCUGUUUAAUCUAAAUUCAUCAAGUGUAAGAUGGUGGCCAAAAAGUCAUGGUGUAAAGACAAUACUUUAAUCCUGACUAUCAUUCUUAGGCACAUAAAUCAGCCCUCUCUCUGAAUUCUCUUAGUGUUUUCACUUGAGUCUCACUCCCCA
This 1192-nucleotide long non-coding RNA is filed under the name Homo sapiens (human). The record is from RNAcentral. Lineage: Eukaryota; Metazoa; Chordata; Mammalia; Primates; Hominidae.